AAGAUCGACGUCUGUAGGGGCCUUUAGCGAACAUUGCAUCGUACCUAAGCAGUUCGACUUGUUAAAUUCGGAGAGCUCUGACGGCGCCCCCUGGUUCAACUCUGCCACUGGGAAUCAUGAAAACGGAGCUCAGACAAAUGUCCUAUAUGCUUUCCAAAGAUGCUAGUAUUGCUGAAGAAGUUGAAAGAAGAAAGUUGAAAAUGAAGGUUAGACUGGAACGACAGCCAGUUCUUGCAAAAGUACGGGCAGUUACAAGUCUUCUUAAGCUUUGGUACUCGAAAGAACAGGCUAAGGGGGUAAUUAUUUCUCUAGGAGUUUGUUCGAAUGGUGAGUAAGUCGAAGAAUGAUUAAGAAGUAACAUAAAUACCGACAAUUUCUUCCAUAUUAUUUUGAUUAUCUUAUAUCCAUUCAUUUGUUUCUCCAUUAUCUCAAUCCAAAUGAUUUUCCGAGAAAAAAUAGUUCCGAUUUUGAGACGGAGCUUCUUCUGAAAGAGCGAUGUCAGAACCGUGAAAUACUUCUAUUCGUGGAUGGUACUGAUAUUGACAGUUUUUAACCC
Molecule: long non-coding RNA, 556 nt
Organism: Leptinotarsa decemlineata (Colorado potato beetle)
Lineage: Eukaryota; Metazoa; Arthropoda; Insecta; Coleoptera; Chrysomelidae
Source: RefSeq, a predicted model, not a curated record